GUAGUCUGCAACCCGACUACAUGAAGCUGGAAUCGCUAGUAAUCGCGAAUCAGAAUGUCGCGGUGAAUACGUUCCCGGGUCUUGUACACACCGCCCGUCACACCAUGGGAGGUCGGAAAUGCCCGAAGUCAGUGACCCAACCGCAAGGAGGGAGCUGCCGAAGGUGUGGAGGGUAAGGGGGGUGAAGUCGUAACAAGGUACC
RNAcentral lists this ribosomal RNA (202 nucleotides) under uncultured bacterium. RNAcentral's name for it is "partial 16S ribosomal RNA". It matches the Rfam family "Bacterial small subunit ribosomal RNA", at positions 1300 to 1500 of the family's 1533-position model. The record is from RNAcentral.